CAAUUAAAUCUUUUUCUUUAUAAAUUACCCAAUCGUAGGUAUGUCCUUAUAGCAGUGUGAGAACCGACUAAUACAGUUCCUUAGGAAGCCCCUGCUGGGUAUGGAUGGGGAGUGAAGCAAGGUGGGCCCAGAAGCUGCCGCUGGCUGAGAGACCAUGAAGAAAGUGUAUAGAAUCUCCACCAUCACCAGAGGAAGAGAGCUUGGCAGGAAAGUUACUUCCAUGAAUGGAUGAGUUGAAGUGAACAGCGUCUUGGGCAAAACUGAAGGGUAGUUAGUCGGGUUUGUCUCUGGUGGGCUUUCAGCUCCACUCCCUGCAUCCCAUUCCCACAUCGUGAUGGUCCCCUCAUAGGCCCAGGGCUACCACCUUGGAGCAUAGGUGGGGAUCCUCCAGCCAGGGUCCUUCCUUCACAGGGAGUCAGAGCCCUCUGCUCCGGAAUUGCCCUGCCCCAGGUCGGCCAUCUAUCAAAAGCCCCACUAUCCCCUAAAGACCCACCCUCAAGCAGCAGAUGUGCAGCAAGGGAGCCGCAAAUGUCAUUCCUGUGACCCCGAAGCAGUCUAGUGUGUUACCUCUCUCAGGGCUGCUAUGGGCUGAAUUGCUUUUCCCCAAAAUUUCUAUGCUGCUUCCCUAACCCCCAGCGCCUCAGAAUCUAACUCUGGAUAGGACCUGUGAAUAAGUGAUUAAGUUAAAAUGGGGUCCUGUGGAUGGGCCCUAACCCAAUCUGACUGGUGUCCUUUUAAGAAGAGGAAGAGACACCAGAGAUGUGCACACUCAGAGACAAGACACAUGAGGACACAGAGACAAGGCGGCUACCUGCAAGCCAGGGAGAGGGGCCUCGGGGAAGCCAACCCUGCCUACGCCUUGAUCUUGGACUUCCAGCCUCCAGAACUCCAGAAUCUGAGUGAAAUGGGUAUAAAUCAUGAGCUAGGAUACAGUUCAAUUAUUCCUAUGAUGAAAAGAGCUUUCUCCGCAUGUGGGACUCUCGGCCUCAUUAUGAGUGGCAUCUUUGACAAUCCAGGGCCCAUUAAAAACACCUUGAAGAAAGCAUUCACCAUGCUGUGGAGCUUCACAGUCUAUACCAGGCUGGAAUCCUUGAGGGUGGCAUUAUCAAAUGAGGAAAUGGUUCCUUUCAUUUUUCAUCUGAAGACUCAGACAGCAAACAUGUUAUCUGGCCCUAUAAGCACCCCGAUGCUUCUGUGAAACCCAAGCAAGUUCUGCAUCACCACGACAGCCGCGGAUGUCAAAUCAUCAAAACAGCAGCAGAGGAAGGGGUUUAUUCCUCCUCCAAAUCUUCAGCUGGUUUUAUAGGGUUACCAGUUUAAAGUUUCUUUGUUUUCAGAGCAUCAGACCUCCCAUUUGUAGCUGAUAGCCAUUUUUCAAAGGUUUCUGGCUCACCCAGGAAUUCAUUAGGGUGGACGAGAAAAGAACAGUGGAUAGAAUAGACCAGCAGGGCAAUCUAAGCCCCAUUCCCUGUCUCUUUACAUUGGUUCUUGGUCCCCGUGACUCAUCCAAACUCCCUUAUAUUCCUAUCUGGAAUGCGAAAGCUGGAAAUACAAGUGCUCUGUAAUCACAGGCAGUGGUUUUCUUGGAGUCUGGUGUGAUUUCUGUAGCUUGCAGCAAUAUGUGGGACACACUUGCACUGAAGAAUUUAAUGACUUGUUUUACUGCUGUCUGCCAUCAAUAUUUAUCUAUAUUAACUGAAGAAAGGCAUUACUCGAAAUGGCAUUUCACACCUCUGAGCAUUAUACAGUAAUUCUAAAGUCAUACGUUGUACCAAAUUCUCUGGGCAAACACAGAGAUACAGUAUGAAUGGAAAGAAUCCAAGUUGAAGUUUUUAAAACUUGAAUUGUCUGCAGUAAUCUGGAAAACCAAAGUCAAAAUGACUCGAAUUGCUAUGGCUGGGAAUGACUGGAUUAAAAGCAAUGGAAACAAUCGUUUCUCGGCUUGGUUUUUCUUGAAUUAGCA
Long non-coding RNA from Homo sapiens (human), 1963 nucleotides. Ensembl annotates it as long intergenic non-protein coding RNA 2860. The record is from Ensembl. Lineage: Eukaryota; Metazoa; Chordata; Mammalia; Primates; Hominidae.